RNAcentral lists this unclassified non-coding RNA (598 nucleotides) under Stegodyphus dumicola. RNAcentral describes it as "uncharacterized LOC118198238, transcript variant X2". Lineage: Eukaryota; Metazoa; Arthropoda; Arachnida; Araneae; Eresidae. The record is from RNAcentral.
UAUAUGUAACUGUAAUUAAAUACUAGUGCUUUUGAUUUUAAUGUUAAAUUUCAUGCAUGCUUUUGUUAAAUAUGCAGGUACAUUUGAAGAAAAUCAAUUUGAAUGCUCUAGGCAAGAUGGGCAUAAAAAACUCAAGCCCAAUGCUGUGCCAACUCUUUUCAAUGUGCCUAAUCCUCCACAACUGUUGACCCCACAGCGUCUAAAAGGCAUUGGUUUACCAAAGCACCGUUCAGUUACAUCCAAUUUUUGUAAUGGUGGCUUGCUGCACAGUUUACCUUUAUCAACUGAAGCGAUUUCUGUUGCUGAACCAUCUGUUGUUCAUUUGCCACAACCUUCAGCUUCAUAUUUUGGAGAAAUAAAUUUUGCUGCUGAAGUAUUUUAAAUGUUUCCAUCUUCAUAAUCAUGCACUUUAUUUCAUUUCACCAGUGGUUGCAAAUGUGUACAUUACAGUACAUCUCAGAACAAGCUUCAACUUCAUCUUGUGAUAAAAUGCCAUCUAUUUGUGAAGGAUCUCAUGAUGUUCUUUUAAGGAAUUUUUAUAAAACAGCAGACUGAAUUGAUCUCGCUUCUGCAAUGCCAGAACAAAAUAUUACUGAAA